This is a long non-coding RNA of Passer domesticus (house sparrow), 812 nucleotides long. RefSeq lists it as uncharacterized. The transcript has 5 exons. Lineage: Eukaryota; Metazoa; Chordata; Aves; Passeriformes; Passeridae. The record is from RefSeq and is a predicted model, not a curated record.
UUUAUGAAAUUCCAGAUUGUGUCAAGUAGAGUACAUUUUUCAGCAGAUUCAUAAUGUCACAAAAGGGAUUUGCUCUGUGUCCAAGAUGAUAUUUGAGAUUGAGGCUUCAAAUGAGUUAAGCAUUGUGAUUAGGAGAGGGAGGGUGAAAAGCUUUUAAUGACUCUAUUUAGGAGUUAUUGUGGGUGGUUUUGAGGGCAGCAGGGUGAGAAACAGUGUCUACAGCACACAAGCUCAUCCAUUGCAGUCAGAGAAAUGCUAUGUAACUUUCUCUCUCUAACCCAGGUGCCACUCACAAUAACACCCUUGGACUCAGUGUGAAGCCAGAGACUCAAGGACCUAGGCACACUCAGGAGAGGACAAGUAGCCGACUUGCUGGGAGUUGGCCCAUAUAACACAAAGCUCAUAUGUUGUUUUUGGUUUACUUUAUUGCAGCUGACUGAGAGGUUAACAGGCAAUUGUGGCAGAGGUGCUCUGAGGCAUACUCAUUUCAGAUGCAGAUGGAUAAAAUCCAUAGCAGAGCACCCCAUCCCAGGAAGUAAAGGCAUAUAGCAACAGUCAAGUUCAAGUGGGCAAGGCAAUCUGCUCAGGUUAUGCCAAGCCCCUGUCAUCAACCGGCCGAUGGACCAGGUUGCUUCUGAGUAGCCCUCAGGAAUGACCAAGGAGUUGUGGUGAGUCGGGGAGGUAUCGAGGAGGAGCCGGGGUCCGCUCAGUUCUCAGCUGUGCUACAUCACCUCGUCUCCUCUGAGACGACAGCGUCAGUCUCGGAGCACAGCUGAAGCGUGUGGCCCGAGGAGCCGGUCACUCUUAGGAGG